Molecule: long non-coding RNA, 1247 nt
Organism: Bos taurus (domestic cattle)
Lineage: Eukaryota; Metazoa; Chordata; Mammalia; Artiodactyla; Bovidae
Source: Ensembl
AAACAUUCCUUGGGCUUCCCUGAUGGCACUGUUGCAGGAAGGGGGAACCCUUCCAGGGCCCGAAACUGGGCUCUCGUCCAACACUCAGAAAUGAAUUGUUCGAGAAGACACAUGUGCUGACAAAGCAAGAGAUUUUAUUGGGAAAGGGCGCCAGGGUGGAGAGCAGUAGGGUAAGGGAAUCCAGGAGAACUGCUCUGCCGCGUGGCGCUCGCAGUCUCGGGUUUUAUGGUGAUGGGAUUAGUUUCUGGGUGCUCUUUGGCCGAUCAUUCUAAUUCAGAGUCUUUCCUGGUGGUGCACGCAUCGCUCAGCCAAGAUGGAUGCUAACAAGAGGGAUUCUGGGAAGUGGACGGACACGCGGUGUCUCCUUUGGACCUUUCCUGAACUCUUCCGAAGCAGAAGCAGACUGUCCCCUCUCCAUCAGAGAGGGCCCCUCAGGAUCGGGGAUGCCCUGGAGAUGCUCCAUGCCAUGCUGCUGACUGGCCCAGGUACUGUGCCCUUCCUUGCUGGCAGGGCCUUAGGUGGACAGCAGGGCACCAGACUUUGACCAGCACCAUGGGCACUGAGGAUGCUGUUUUCACAACUUUUCUGUCUCGAAAAUUAAGAAGGCAUGGAAACAGGCAUAUCUGGAAUGAUGAGCCUGCAUGAAUGAGCACAAGAUUCUGAAGCACCCCACGAAUCAGUGAAUCUCCAAAGAAAGAUAACAUAACGGCCACUAUAGUUUUGAUGAUGUGCAUACUUUGCUGUAUUCUGGUACUUUUUGAAAUUAGAUCAUGCAUGUCUGGACACAUCUAAGUUUUUCACAAAUAUUUAAUUAAACUGGAUGUCCCAUUCCUAGAGCACAUGAAAAAACAGACACCUUCACUUUACAUAAAUUACUUGUAUGGCUUUGUUGGUUUUCACCUGCAUGUCUUCUUUGUAUGUGUCCUUUGGUGUCUCAUUAGUCAUAUGUCUUUUCUAACCCUCUGGACUGUGAACUUCAUCAGAGGAGGAAACUUCCUAAAUCUGUGUGCAUCCCACUGAUGGCAUUUCCUAACUGACUGCUCCAGCCCCCUAGGGAGGAGGACCAGAUCAAGGUAGAGGGAAGGAAGGUCUUGUCUGAGCCCUAGUGAUAUGUCUGAGCCUUCUCUUGGGGUCCUGCCCUGGGAGCCGUUUUCUGAUGGUUCAAAGGAAAACUGUCAGAAAACUGUUUGAUUCCACUUAUACAAGGUACCGAGAAGAGUCAAAUUCAUAGAGUCGGAAAAUGCGUU